AUUGAACGCUGGCGGCAGGCCUAACACAUGCAAGUCGAGCGGAUGAAGGGAGCUUGCUCCUGGAUUCAGCGGCGGACGGGUGAGUAAUGCCUAGGAAUCUGCCUGGUAGUGGGGGAUAACGUCCGGAAACGGGCGCUAAUACCGCAUACGUCCUGAGGGAGAAAGAGGGGGAUCUUCGGACCUCACGCUAUCAGAUGAGCCUAGGUCGGAUUAGCUAGUUGGUGGGGUAAAGGCCUACCAAGGCGACGAUCCGUAACUGGUCUGAGAGGAUGAUCAGUCACACUGGAACUGAGACACGGUCCAGACGCCUACGGGAGGCAGCAGUGGGGAAUAUUGGACAAUGGGCGAAAGCCUGAUCCAGCCAUGCCGCGUGUGUGAAGAAGGUCUUCGGAUUGUAAAGCACUUUAAGUUGGGAGGAAGGGCAGUAAGUUAAUACCUUGCUGUUUUGACGUUACCAACAGAAUAAGCACCGGCUAACUUCGUG
RNAcentral lists this ribosomal RNA (484 nucleotides) under uncultured bacterium. RNAcentral describes it as "partial 16S ribosomal RNA". It matches the Rfam family "Bacterial small subunit ribosomal RNA", at positions 30 to 507 of the family's 1533-position model. The record is from RNAcentral.